This 610-nucleotide ribosomal RNA is filed under the name uncultured archaeon. RNAcentral's name for it is "bacterial SSU rRNA". It matches the Rfam family "Archaeal small subunit ribosomal RNA", at positions 267 to 879 of the family's 1478-position model. The record is from RNAcentral.
GUACGGGCCAUGAGAGUGGUAGCCCGGAGAUGGACACUGAGAUAGGGGUCCAGGCCCUACGGGGCGCAGCAGGCGCGAAAACUCCACACUGUACGCAAGUACGAUGGGGUUACCUCGAGUGUAGUCUGUAAAAGAUUGCUUUUCCAUAGAGUAAUAUCCUGUGGGAAUAAGAGGGGGGCAAGACUGGUGUCAGCCGCCGCGGUAACACCAGCCCCUCGAGUGGUAGGGACUUUUAUUUGGCCUAAAGCGUUCGUAGCCGUCUGUAACCGUUGCCCGUUAAAUCCAGCGUCUCAAGCGUUGGACUGCGGGCGAUACCUUACAGAUUGAGGGUGGGAUAGGUAAGCGGUAUUUCUGGGGUAGGGGCGAAAUCCUUUGAUCCCAGGAGGACCACCAGUGGCGAAGGCUGCUUACUAGAACACGCCUGACGGUCAGGAACGAAAGCUGGGGUAGCGAACCGGAUUAGAUACCCGGGUAGUCCCAGCUGUAAACGAUGCGCGCUAGGUGUUGGGUCGGCCAUGCGCCGCCCCAGUGCCGCAGGGAAGCCGUUAAGCGCGCCGCCUGGGGAGUACGGCCGCAAGGCUGAAACUUAAAGGAAUUGGCGGGGGAGCAC